GAUGAACGCUGGCGGCGUGCCUAAUACAUGCAAGUCGAGCGAACAGACGAGGAGCUUGCUCCUUUGACGUUAGCGGCGGACGGGUGAGUAACACGUGGGUAACCUACCUAUAAGACUGGGAUAACUUCGGGAAACCGGAGCUAAUACCGGAUAAUAUUUCGAACCGCAGGGUUCGAUAGUGAAAGAUGGCUUUGCUAUCACUUAUAGAUGGAUCUGCGCCGUAUUAGCUAGUUGGUAGGGUAACGGCUUACCAAGGCAACGAUACGUAGCCGACCUGAGAGGGUGAUCGGCCACACGGGAACUGAGACACGGUCCUGACUCCUACGGGAGGCAGCAGUCGGGAAUCUUCCGCAAUGGGCGAAAGCCUGACGGAGCAACGCCGCGUGAGUGAUGAAGAUCUUCGGAUCGUAAAACUCUGUUAUUAGUGAAGAACAAACGUGUAAGUAGCUGUGCACGUCUUGACGGUACCUAAUCAGAAAGCCACGGCUAACUACGUG
This 497-nucleotide ribosomal RNA is filed under the name uncultured bacterium. Its description in RNAcentral is "partial 16S ribosomal RNA". It matches the Rfam family "Bacterial small subunit ribosomal RNA", at positions 28 to 507 of the family's 1533-position model. The record is from RNAcentral.